This 285-nucleotide long non-coding RNA is filed under the name Helianthus annuus (common sunflower). RNAcentral describes it as "sRNA HanXRQr2_Chr04g0192051". Lineage: Eukaryota; Viridiplantae; Streptophyta; Magnoliopsida; Asterales; Asteraceae. The record is from RNAcentral.
UUUUUAUUAAAGUGUAAAAAUCGAAUCUUGAAAGUAUAUUAAAAGUUAUGAUCCCACAAAAAGAUAAACUAGAACCAGAACAAACAGUAAAAAGAUUAAUGGGUAUCUUGUUAUUUGAUCUAAAGAUCCAAGAACAAAAAAAAGAAAGUUGAGUUUUAAAUCAAAAUUAAAGAUCUUUAUGGUACUAAAAAUAGAAUCUUGAAACAUAAGUUAAAAUAAAAGUGGGCUGGGCUGGGCUUACAUUGAUGUUUCCUUCGAUGAAACAAACCAAGCCACUUGAGUCUA